CGGCGAGGCCCGGGGGAGCGGGAAGGCCUCAGGGCUGCUGCAGGGCCCCGAGGCGUCGCCCCUCACGAGGGACAGAGCUCCACCGCUCUGCUGCUGCCCCAGGCCUGACCGUGAGACUACACAGCAGGUGUUGUGUGGCACGGCUGUGAGCCCAGCAGUACCGGGCCUCUGUGAAGGCGUCAAGGAAGGGGAUGGAGGCCUGCGCCGCUUCCACCGUCUGCACAGCGGAUGUGUGGGGAAGGCCUGUCCCCAUCCCGCGGCGCUGGAGGAGCCCAGGCUGAGGGAUCCACAUUGGCAGGCACAGAGAUAGGAGCGGGGCUUUGCAGUGACACGGCCUGCAGGAGUGCAGUGCUCACCCCGUGACCAACACGGCUGGUUUCCUUCGGGCCUCCCUUAUUGCACAGAGAAGCAUAUCGAUGCCAAAGAAUUUCCAUCUCUCUGUUGUGAAUCAUUAACCGGGAAAUCCUCCAGGUUAUUAGGAACAACAUCCCCCAGGGCUCGAUCUGCUGCUAUCUGCUCCUGAUCAAAGGAUGACAGAGGUGGUUUCUAGGCAGAAGACUGGCUUACGCAUCCUGUGCGUUCUAUAGCAAAUAAUCACCCAGUUUGUGUCAUGAUAAACAGCAAGAAA
This 628-nucleotide long non-coding RNA is filed under the name Gallus gallus (chicken). RNAcentral describes it as "long non-coding RNA NONGGAT003161". The record is from RNAcentral. Lineage: Eukaryota; Metazoa; Chordata; Aves; Galliformes; Phasianidae.